CAGCAGCCACGGUAAAACGUAGGUCCCGAGCGUUGUCCGGAUUUAUUGGGCGUAAAGGGAGCGCAGGCGGUUUAGUAAGUCUGAAGUUAAAGGCAUUGGCUCAACCAAUGUAUGCUUUGGAAACUGUUAGACUUGAGUGCAGAAGGGGAGAGUGGAAUUCCAUGUGUAGCGGUGAAAUGCGUAGAUAUAUGGAGGAACACCGGUGGCGAAAGCGGCUCUCUGGUCUGUCACUGACGCUGAGGCUCGAAAGCGUGGGUAGCGAACAGGAUUAGAUACCCCGGUAGUCCCUGUCUCUUAUACA
This 301-nucleotide ribosomal RNA is filed under the name uncultured bacterium. RNAcentral describes it as "partial 16S ribosomal RNA". It matches the Rfam family "Bacterial small subunit ribosomal RNA", at positions 509 to 808 of the family's 1533-position model. The record is from RNAcentral.